ACAGAUCGUUCAGAGUUUGAUCCUGGCUCAGGAUGAACGCUGGCGGCGUGCAUAACACAUUCAAGUCGAACGGUGACGACCUUCGGGUCUGAUCAGUGGCGGACGGGUGAGUAACGCGUGAGCAACCUGCCUUACAGGUACGGGAUAACGUCCGGAAACAGACGCUAAUACCGUAUAAUGCAUGGAUAUCGCAUGAUGACCAUGCCAAAGUAUUUAUUGCUGUAAGAGUGGGCUCGCGUCUGAUUAGGUAGUUGGCGGGGAACGGCCCACCAAGCCUACGAUCAGUAGCCGGACUGAGAGGUUGAACGGCCACAUUGGAACUGAGAAACGGUCCAG
This 336-nucleotide ribosomal RNA is filed under the name uncultured bacterium. RNAcentral's name for it is "bacterial SSU rRNA". It matches the Rfam family "Bacterial small subunit ribosomal RNA", at positions 1 to 334 of the family's 1533-position model. The record is from RNAcentral.